RNA transcript from Sorghum bicolor (sorghum), 1550 nucleotides. RefSeq lists it as uncharacterized. The transcript is spliced from 8 exons. The record is from RefSeq and is a predicted model, not a curated record. Lineage: Eukaryota; Viridiplantae; Streptophyta; Magnoliopsida; Poales; Poaceae.
GGUUUAUUUUUUUUCCUUUCGUCUUCGUCGUCUUUGGUUUGUGUGCUCGCUUCCUCGGCGCCGUCGCUUCUAACGUUCGUUCCUUUCGCCUUCAUCCGCUGGGUCUGUGUUGUUGCUGUCCUCUCUGGUUUUCCUGUCGCGCUUUGCGUUACCUUCUUCUGCCUGCCGUUCCGUGUUGCCUCUGCGUGCUCGCCGUACCUAUCGUAGGGCGGUAGCGCGGAUUCGCCAUCGCUGACCUCGGCUUACCACGGUGGGGGCUUUGCCCUUGCCAUGGUGGGCUAUCCGGCGGCCAUAAAUUACCUUGUACCUCGGGUUCUAUUGCUCUGUUUGCUCUGUUUUUGGGGUUGUUGUGCUCAUACAAUGGGUCCUUUUUGUUUGAGGCUGGGUUUCUGUCCGUCCGAGGGAUCCACAUGGCUUCGGGCGUCUGUGCAUCGGUGUCUGUUGUUGCUGCUCAGUUGUUAGAUUCACCUGUUUGCGUUCGUUCGUCAGGUGAUUCCUCUCUCUUUACAUUUCACAGGUUCGGUGUGCUUAUUCCCAAGAUCAUCAGUGCUCUAACUAAGGUAUUGAAUCAAGCGUCCAAUCUACCAAAAUCAUAUUCAGAAAAAAAAUUAAGGAUUCUUUCCCUAAAGCUGUGUUUUCUUCGUUUCAAAUAGAUUCCCUGUAAGCACUCAAGCCCCUCCAGUUUCAUAGACAAAAAAACUCUGAAUACAUAGUCAGUCCUUGUUGUUUGUCCAAAGUAACAACCCAAAUUCAUAUAUAACCUGUGCUAACCAACCCAGUUGUUUCAGUAUAGAUAGUGACAACGGUAUAAAACUAGGUCCCUCGGAUCUACGACACAGCAACCAUUAUGAAUUCAGAGCGACUGAAACAGCAUGGAGCCAUUUUCAACGUCGCCUUGUCUCCUCCAAAUUUCAUUAUCCACUUGACAACACUUGAACUCCAGCUGCAAAUUCUCUCCUGCAAGACAUUCAGUGGACCAGAUUUCCUUCUCGACAUACUACCUUGGUGUCUUGAACAUGGUUCAUUCGAUUUGCCAUGGAUCAUCAAGUCCUCGGAUCAAGACACUCAGAUGACACCAAAAAGACACUACCUACAGAUUUUAGCGACCCAAUCAGAACCAUUACGACAUGUUUCAGCUCUAGCUUCAGGUCACCAUAUAGGCAGCACCCAACAAGAACCUAUCCAAGAUACAACAAAGUUGUCUGAUUUCAGACAUGAGGCAUAUACAUCCUCAGGUGACCAGAACGAAGUUACCUUGCAGCCAUGAGACAGGACGCCACAUCAUCCGGAUACAGAAUCAUCCAUCAGCAUUUCAAGCGACGACGAACAAGGAUGGGAAUCAGACCGAAGCAUGAACAUACCUGAUACUGAUGCUUAGGCAGAAGCAACCAAACUCUCAGACUCAUAGCCCUCUUUCCAUGUGAAAUAUUUAUGUACAACCAUGUCAUGUAAUGUAAGGACCCAACAUCUUAUAAUGCUUUCAUAUGUUCAGCCAUAGUCAAUGUGUACUAAACUUAAGGACUACUAUAAUAUGUGGUCAUUUAUAUAUA